GUAUAAUGUAUAUUUAUAUUAUUUAUGCCUCUAACUGGAACGUACCUUGAGCAUAUAUGCUGUGACCCGAAAGAUGGUGAACUAUACUUGAUCAGGUUGAAGUCAGGGGAAACCCUGAUGGAAGACCGAAACAGUUCUGACGUGCAAAUCGAUUGUCAGAAUUGAGUAUAGGGGCGAAAGACCAAUCGAACCAUCUAGUAGCUGGUUCCUUCCGAAGUUUCCCUCAGGAUAGCUGGUGCAUUUUAAUAUUAUAUAAAAUAAUCUUAUCUGGUAAAGCGAAUGAUUAGAGGCCUUAGGGUCGAAACGAUCUUAACCUAUUCUCAAACUUUAAAUGGGUAAGAACCUUAACUUUCUUGAUAUGAAGUUCAAGGUUAUGAUAUAAUGUGCCCAGUGGGCCACUUUUGGUAAGCAGAACUGGCGCUGUGGGAUGAACCAAACGUAAUGUUACGGUGCCCAAAUUAACAACUCAUGCAGAUACCAUGAAAGGCGUUGGUUGCUUAAAACAGCAGGACGGUGAUCAUGGAAGUCGAAAUCCGCUAAGGAGUGUGUAACAACUCACCUGCCGAAGCAACUAGCCCUUAAAAUGGAUGGCGCUUAAGUUGUAUACCUAUACAUUACCGCUAAAGUAGAUGAUUUAUAUUACUUGUGAUAUAAAUUUUGAAACUUUAGUGAGUAGGAAGGUACAAUGGUAUGCGUAGAAGUGUUUGGCGUAAGCCUGCAUGGAGCUGCCAUUGGUACAGAUCUUGGUGGUAGUAGCAAAUAAUCGAAUGAGACCUUGGAGGACUGAAGUGGAGAAGGGUUUCGUGUGAACAGUGGUUGAUCACGAGUUAGUCGGUCCUAAGUUCAAGGCGAAAGCCGAAAAUUUUCAAGUAAAACAAAAAUGCCUAACUAUAUAAACAAAGCGAAUUAUAAUACACUUGAAUAAUUUUGAACGAAAGGGAAUACGGUUCCAAUUCCGUAACCUGUUGAGUAUCCGUUUGUUAUUAAAUAUGGGCCUCGUGCUCAUCCUGGCAACAGGAACGACCAUAAAGAAGCCGUCGAGAGAUAUCGGAAGAGUUUUCUUUUCUGUUUUAUAGCCGUACUACCAUGGAAGUCUUUCGCAGAGAGAUAUGGUAGAUGGGCUAGAAGAGCAUGACAUAUACUGUUGUGUCGAUAUUUUCUCCUCGGACCUUGAAAAUUUAUGGUGGGGACACGCAAACUUCUCAACAGGCCGUACCAAUAUCCGCAGCUGGUCUCCAAGGUGAAGAGUCUCUAGUCGAUAGAAUAAUGUAGGUAAGGGAAGUCGGCAAAUUAGAUCCGUAACUUCGGGAUAAGGAUUGGCUCUGAAGAUUGAGAUAGUCGGGCUUGAUUGGGAAACAAUAACAUGGUUUAUGUGCUCGUUCUGGGUAAAUAGAGUUUCUAGCAUUUAUGUUAGUUACUUGUUCCCCGGAUAGUUUAGUUACGUAGCCAAUUGUGGAACUUUCUUGCUAAAAUUUUUAAGAAUACUAUUUGGGUUAAACCAAUUAGUUCUUAUUAAUUAUAACGAUUAUCAAUUAACAAUCAAUUCAGAACUGGCACGGACUUGGGGAAUCCGACUGUCUAAUUAAAACAAAGCAUUGUGAUGGCCCUAGCGGGUGUUGACACAAUGUGAUUUCUGCCCAGUGCUCUGAAUGUCAAAGUGAAGAAAUUCAAGUAAGCGCGGGUCAACGGCGGGAGUAACUAUGACUCUCUUAAGGUAGCCAAAUGCCUCGUCAUCUAAUUAGUGACGCGCAUGAAUGGAUUAACGACGGACGUGUUUUCGUUGCGCUCGUGGGGAUCAUGGGGUAUUUGAGAGCAGAGGGGGAGUAUUCUUCUGUAAUUCGUAAGUCAUAUCAUAUGAUGUGCGGAAGGGGAAUUUUACUCUGUAACUCACAAGUCUCUCCUUUACUCAAGUCGACUCAAAACCUCCUCGUGGUGGUCCCCGGUAAUGCUAAACUCGUUUAGCAGCUAAUUUGAGCGGCAAAACUUUUCCGAUGGGCUGGUUCCCCAGAGGAAAUUUAUUCAUAUUGGAACUACAAGCACAAAUAACGAGCCUCGGAUACCUUUACACAAUCUGAUGACGACCCGACCCUCCGUGGAUAUCUUCCCGGAGGACCAAUAUGAACCAAACGCAGCGGCUACUCUAUCUAGGGUUCCCUGCACAGUAUGUGGCCGGUCCUUUAACAGCAAGAGAGGACUCGGUGUUCACAUGCGAUCUCGGCACCCAGACGAACUUGAUGAAGAACGUCGACGUGUCGAUAUAAAGGCAAGAUGGAGUGAUGAAGAGAAGUGGAUGAUGGCGAGAAAGGAGGUUGAGCUCACAGCAAAUGGAUGUAAACACAUAAACAAGCAACUAGCGGUGUAUUUUGCAAACCGCAGCGUCGAAGCCAUCAAAAAGCUAAGACAGAGGGGCGAUUAU
Molecule: ribosomal RNA, 2416 nt
Filed under: Drosophila melanogaster (fruit fly)
Lineage: Eukaryota; Metazoa; Arthropoda; Insecta; Diptera; Drosophilidae
Description: eukaryotic LSU rRNA
Rfam family: Eukaryotic large subunit ribosomal RNA (bases 1-1804)
Source: RNAcentral